GAUUGAUGAAAAAAAGUUUUUAUAGAAUCAUAUAUCGACUCAAGCUGAUUGAAUCUAUCAUAUGACCGAUGAUGAGGUUUGAUGAUUCAUCCAUAACCUGCCAUUCGAUCGGGACUCACAAUAGAGGGACUGUAUCAUGCCUUAAAUGCACCUAGAGGUUCAUCAUCUUUUAUUCUACUGGGUUGCCACUAUAUAUUGCUAGGUAUCACUGGUGGAUUGUAAGACUCACAAGCAUCAUCUUGAUGAUCGAUGAUCCUUGGUGGGUAGAGUUGGAACUGUUCCAACCCAUUGAAAAGAGUUUUAAUGAUAUUGUGAUAGGGAUCAUAAUAUAUCUCACUACCAGAUAGAAUAGAACCUAUGGGAUCACAUAUAAAAGAGGCUUUUGACUGAU
Molecule: long non-coding RNA, 391 nt
Filed under: Elaeis guineensis (African oil palm)
Lineage: Eukaryota; Viridiplantae; Streptophyta; Magnoliopsida; Arecales; Arecaceae
Description: long non-coding RNA (EGUI_LNC079256)
Source: RNAcentral